This 28-nucleotide small RNA is filed under the name Bombyx mori (domestic silkworm). RNAcentral describes it as "ovarian small RNA-28644". Lineage: Eukaryota; Metazoa; Arthropoda; Insecta; Lepidoptera; Bombycidae. The record is from RNAcentral.
UCGCAUUGAGGUCCCUAACCACCAAGGC